CAGGCUCCCGGGAGACCCAUCUCAGGGUCUUCAUUGAGAGCAUCACAAGCAUCCAUACGGGGCAGCUGACACUGUGGUGCGGCCAUUGUGCAGGUGCUGUGUGGUUGCUGUUGUGUGCUUGGCUAUGGCUGUGUGGUCUUAUGGUGGCUGCAGCUGUGUUGCUGUGAGGUUGUGAAUCUGUUGCAGGUAUUCUGGCUCCUUCAUCACAGCUGGAGGAGGAGGAAGCCAGCUGCUGGGGAGGGGUGACCGCUGGAUACCUGACCCCAGCCCAUCACCCGGCACCGGCUGUGCCCAGACACUGAGAAGUCCCAAGAUCUUCAAUUAGCAAGCUGGAAACCCUGUCUGAGGCCUGAGAACCAGGAAAGCCAAUAAGCCUUCAAUGAAUUGGAGGAGACCCACCACAUCAGGAAGGGUAACCUGUUUCAUAGUCCACCGAUUCCAUUUAAUCUCAUCCAGAAACAUCCUUGCAGACACAGCCAGAAUAAAAUUUGACCAGAU
Molecule: long non-coding RNA, 498 nt
Organism: Nycticebus coucang (slow loris)
Lineage: Eukaryota; Metazoa; Chordata; Mammalia; Primates; Lorisidae
Exons: 3
Source: RefSeq, a predicted model, not a curated record